AUCAUCAGUGGGAUUCGGGCUUGACUUCUUCCAGCAACGAGGUGGCAGUUAAAGCUGUAAUAGGUUGGACUAUAUGAAACUGUUGAUAUUUGACCAUUUUUGACCCACCAAAAUGACAGUUUCAUGGGGUUCAAACUGCAAAUGCCCUUUGUGCCCACCUGAUCCAGGUAACCCUCCUAACAAUCCCUGGAUUAGGUCUGGAGACUGGACCCUCCUGCUCUGUACCUGCAGUGACCAUGUACGUGCAAAGCGUAUCCAGUGCCUCAGACGGCUGGUCCUCGGCCUCCCUGUCCACCAUCGCCUUCCUCCCUCUCAUUUCAGCCGUGACACGUCUGGAGGAAGAUGAGGCAGAAAAUGACAUCUGAGUUUCUCUUUCAGACCCUGGCGCCACCACCUCUGCUGUCCCUGGGUGUGUGGGUGAGCGCCUUCCACCCCUUCAGGAGCCCCGCUCUCAGGGGCUGAGCUGUGAUCAGCUGCCCACCGAGGCCCCCCGCUGCUUUGGAGGGAAGGGACCCCGCGGCGAGGGCGUGGCUCCGGCUCCCUGCUGGGCAGGUGUAUGGAGGAGGCUGACUCUCCAAGGGGCUGUAGGUUAAGAGGGCCAAUACUUUCAAACGUGUUCACUUUGCUGUUCCUUCGUCAGCUCAUGGUCGUGGAGCACCGCGGCCCAAGUGCCCACCCAGCUCACUGCUAGUUGGGGGGCGGGCACGGUGGCAGCACAGACCCCCUGCCCGCCCUGGCAAGGGGCAGAAGCCAGGUGUGGUGCGUCGGGAAGGCGGCUGGGGACGGGGUUGGGGGCACGUGGAGCGUCCAGUCAGAAUGCCCGGCUCUGGGCGUUUCCGUACCACCUGCCACUUAGAGACUUCUGGUCCCUGAGGCACGUCUCAAAGGGCCACUCUACCCAAAAUACCCUCUGUCGUGCUGUCCAGGGAAAGGUUUUAAAAUACCUUUUGCUCGUAAAUCGACUACACCUUAAUACAAAUAAAAACCUGUCUCUCAACACCAAUUUGUGAGAUCUUUAGGCAGCAUAUGGAGAAAAGGGACAGGUUGGCCCAUUUUAAUGCGCUCAAGAUGCAAAUAGCUAAAUUUACAAAUCAGAUAUGGUGUCAAUGUGAAAUACACAGGCCAUUUCAAAAAUUGUCUUUUUUGAUCGAUUGAGUAUAAUUUUACUUUUCCUGCAUGUAAACAUUCACGACAGAUGGGUACAGGUAUCUGACAGAAAUAACCGCCUUACUGCCCUCAGCUCCCUGCGUUCAGACCAGCUGGUCAGAACAGACCUACAGAAAGCUUUUCCAGUUUCCCAGAUGGAGUCACCACCAAGUUGCUCUCCCACUUACCCGUUUUUGGCGAUCAGUGUGCGAUUUCCUCCUCAGAGGUUACUUUUACAGUCAGUCUAAGGGCUGGGGGUCUGGACCCCAACUGCAGCUGCUUCUGCUGCCUGCGGCCUUUCGAUAAUCUACAGUGAGCCGGUGCAAGUCUGCUACGGUAAAGUCUGGACUUCACCCUUAACUUCUGUUCUAUUAAAUAUCUUCACCAUUUCUAAAAAAACCCCACAAAAACUGGAGGGCCUGUGGGUGGGAGGGCUAACAAAAGAAGAGGGCUCCAUUUUCAAGCUUGGAAGGUUAUGAUAACACUAUUUGAAAAGAAAGGGGUUACAUGACUUACUUUUCAAAUGUUCACAUUCUCCAGAUUUAUGACAACAUAGUAAUAAUGAUCAUACCGCAUGGGGUCAAAGAUAAGGUCCUUUUAUUAGCACUCCUGCCUCUCCUUGAAUCAUUUCAGGCACCCAUAUUGUUACAGUAUAACAUUUUAUUUUCCUUAAUAGAAUUACAAAACUAUUUAAAAAUCCAGGUAAAACAAUGUUUCUCAAAUUGCAGGUCCUGACCCAUGAGCGGGUAGGGAAAUUAAUAAAAUGAGUCAUGAUGAUAUUUUAUACAAGGGAAAAAAUAGGACGGAAAAACCCCAGAGUGUAUCAGACUUUGAAAAGGUCGGUUUUGUCUCUCAUGCAUACUCAUCUAUGUAUAUAAACCGCGCCUAAACACGUGCAUGUGCCAGAUCGGGAAGUUUAAAUGUAUUUCUUCCUGUGAAGGGCAGAUGAAAAGUCUGAGAAAUCCCAAGAGAGAGAGAAUAUUCACGAUAAAAAGUUAAGAAACAAGACCGUGCUAUUCUACCCGCUAAAUAUGAUUUUCCAUGUUAAGUGUCUUUAUUAAAGCUGGGUGCUCCUCCUUAGCAAAGUGACAGUUCUAAAAAACAAAAGAGGCGUUCAGGCAAAAUACAUUCAUAUACAUGUAUGUGUAUGUGCAUAUGCUUACCUAUAAAUACAGUGUUUAAGCCUUUAAAUAUAUUUAAAACCUUUAAAAUAUAAUUAGAACUUCCCACCCUAUGAAUAACCACUGCAGAGAACAUAAAAUCAAGGGUGCAGUUGUGCUGGUGUUUAGCGGUGUUCACUCCUUCAUAUGCCGAGCUAAACAGAAUCCAAAAAAAUGCGCAUGUAGUUGCUAUUUUUUAAGCUGAAAAUUCACAGCCCGUUUAACACCUACCCUCUCGUUAGCCUGGGACUAUAGUAGCUGGUCCGUGUGAUGCAGCUGGAAUCGGGAGAGAAACUCCCAUGCCGCAUUUCGCGGUUGAGAAGAGACCCCCUCCUCCCGCAUCUUGGUGAGUUUCCCCGACUGCACCCCGAUGGAAGGGGUCCUGCUGACCCUCACGAGCAAGGCUGCUCAGGGACCACCAGGCUUCCCGGACUCGGGCCUAAAAACAUUCCAGACAUUCCUCACCACAACUUCCUCAAAAGGCUGGCUUCCCAGGAGGGCAGGGGCACAGCGUGCGGGGUCACGGCCGCGGCAGCAGCGGCCUCUGUUCUCAGAGGCGCGCUUCGCUGAGCGGAGCGGGGGCCCAGCCCACGCGCCCUCAGAGGCGAGUGAGGACGUCGCGGUCCCCGCAAAGAGGAGGCUGUCCGUGCGGCCGACCUUCCCGCAGCUCGGAGAGAAGGUCGGUGUCUUGGUGUGUGGCGUGUUUUCUUUGGAAAGAGGCAAAUGGAGUCGGAUGAAGUUUCCUAUAGCAAAGCCUCGGCCCCUCAAAUCCGAGAGUCUCAACGUUGCUUUUAACGAACUCUUUUUAGUUGCCUUUCUUAUGCAAAUAAUGGCAGGAUGUGCCAUUGCCCUCUUUUUCCCUAUUAAUGUUUCCAAUUCUGCCAAUUUCCUCUGCCCGUCUCUCCUUUUGCUUCUCAAACACGUCAUUUAAAGCCCCGCUUCUCUUUCUGGACUAGACCGUAUUGACAGCCACCUCCCAGGGCUGGAGGUUUUCGUGAAGGAGCACAUGGAAAUCAGGAGCUUUGCAGGUAGAACUGGGUCCCGUCGCGCUCUUUCUGGCCCAUGGGCUAUUCGCUGCCAACCUCAGGGGUCUGGUUUGCCUGGGAUUCUCCUCAUGCUCUUCUUCCAGCUCAGCCCCACCCUGGUGUCCACGUUCCUGGGUAAAGAGCCAAACCCAGCGUCUUUCUCAGAACCGCAAAACCCCAGUGCAAGGUCUUAGGCACAGUUCACACUCCGUGACGUAGGAGGUCUUGGCCAAGGGUUACACACUGGACUGGAUGAUCUGACCAGUGGAGUCUGUCCUCAGGCCCUCUUCUUUCUCAGUGACCCAUGAGACACUGCAGAAGUCACAGGAGCUCUAUAUCUGGCAGGUGACUGACUGCCGAUGAAAUGCGACUCGGCGCCCAGGGGCUGGUCACGGAACAAGAUGGUUAAGAAGCUAAGGGAUCAUCUCACACCCCAAAAGUGCAGUGUGGAAGCUGGAAGGAAAGCUCUUAGCCUCAGCGAUGGGCAUUUUUCUCUCCCUCUGUGUAGCUGUGGGCUGGGGUUGGUGGCAAGUGUUGCUGAAAUGAGAAGAGGGGCUGUGCUGCACCUGCAGCAUGUAUAGGACUUAAUUUCCUUAGCCUUUGUUGUCUUACCUGUUGGUCACUUUUCUGGUUCGUUUAAUCAGAGACCUUUUGACUUUGAAAUCUGUGGCAGAAUUUUCUUUUUUUAAAAAUUGCCGUAUAGCUGUGGUACAAUAUUAUAUGUCACAGGUUUGUACAAACGGUAAUUCAUAGUUUUUAAAGGUUAUAUUCCAUUUAUAGUUAUUAUAAAACAUAAUAAUAUAUAUUAUAAAAUAUUAUAAACUAUUUCAAAUGCCAGCUCUGAAACAGAGACACCCACCUAGACAAGCCCUGUGAUGUCAUGCUCUAAAAAUACCUUGCGUGGAUUAUUGGGAGAGGAAAUGAAGCAGAGAUAGUAGGCUCACACUGACUUCUAAAAGAGUCACCAUGGAGUGUUUACCAAGAUCUCCAGAUGACUAAAAUUAGUUUAUUCUGCACAGCGUUAUCCCCGCUGACUCAAGAUGGUGACACGAGCAGUGUUAAGCUGUGAGCUCACCAGGAAACUCGUUCCCCAGAAUCUUCUCUGGUAGGAAAGACCCUAGCUCACAUCAGUGGAUGGAAGGUGAGGUAUAAAUAGGCACUCGCUCCACCAUCGCUCAGAAGCUAUGCUUUCCGCUUGCCUUCAGAUCUCUGUUUCUGGAAAACGUUAAAGCCUCCAAUCCGCCCCUGUGUGCGCGUGUGCCGCAUCUUCUAGGGAUGCAGUACAAUCCCUGGAAAAGAGAGCCUAAGUCGUCAGGUGAGGGCCACUUAACAACUCGCUGACCUCAGAACUGAGUUUUGUGUGCAAUUAGAUAUGGAUGCCAAUUGCAUUUUUUAAAUAAAUAUUUUAAUGAAAAACUGAGGUUUUGAUCCUAUAAAUGUCCUGUAAGCUGGCCUGUGUGUAAAUGGUCAGCCAGUAAGAAGUACGUUCAGACAGGUGCAGGCAGAGAAGGACGCGUAGACACGUGUGCUGUCAGGGAGGUUUCUCUGCCGGGAAAAAGGUUUUCCAUAAAUAGUUGGCCCUGGAGCCAUCAGGGGGGUCAGCACUGCUGACCUGCCCCGAAGUAAAACAUCCACGUAAAAUUUAGCGUCAGCCCUCUGUAUACGAGGGUUUAAACAACUGCAUAUUGCGUAGUUCGUAGUAUUUAUUAUUGCCAAAAAUCCACGUGUGAGCGGCCCUUCGCAGUUCAAACCCAUGUUGUUCAAAGGUCGAUGGUACUUAAGGGCCAGCUUGUCCCAAGAGGGCUUCGUCCGGCCGCGCCGCCCCCCCCCCCUCUGGUUUAUGCCCUCAAGCGGUCCGCCC
Molecule: long non-coding RNA, 5192 nt
Filed under: Sus scrofa (pig)
Lineage: Eukaryota; Metazoa; Chordata; Mammalia; Artiodactyla; Suidae
Description: lncRNA (ENSSSCG00000054248.1)
Source: RNAcentral